RNAcentral lists this ribosomal RNA (253 nucleotides) under uncultured bacterium. RNAcentral describes it as "partial 16S ribosomal RNA". It matches the Rfam family "Bacterial small subunit ribosomal RNA", at positions 524 to 776 of the family's 1533-position model. The record is from RNAcentral.
UACAGAGGGGGCAAGCGUUAUUCGGAAUUAUUGGGCGUAAAGGGCGCGUAGGCGGCUUUGCAAGUGACGGGUGAAAGCCCUCGGCUUAACCGAGGAACUGCCUGUCAGACUGUAAGGCUUGAGACCGGGAGAGGUGAGUGGAAUUCCCAGUGUAGCGGUGAAAUGCGCAGAUAUCGGGAAGAACACCCGUGGCGAAGGCGGCUCUCUGGGACGGUACUGACGCUGAGACGCGAAAGCGUGGGGAGCGAACAGG